CCAAACUCCUACGGGAGGCAGCAGUAGGGAAUCUUCGGCAAUGGGCGAAAGCCUGACCGAGCAACGCCGCGUGAAUGAAGAAGGCCUUCGGGUUGUAAAAUUCUGUUAUAAGGGAAGAAAGGUGAUAGGAGGAAAUGACUAUCAAUUGACGGUACCUUAUGAGAAAGCCACGGCUAACUACGUGCCAGCAGCCGCGGUAAUACGUAGGGGGCAAGCGUUAUCCGGAUUCACUGGGUGUAAAGGGAGCGUAGACGGCGACGCAAGUCUGGAGUGAAAGCCCGGGGCCCAACCCCGGGACUGCUCUGGAAACUGCGGCGCUGGAGUACGGGAGGGGCAGGCGGAAUUCCUGGUGUAGCGGUGAAAUGCGUAGAUAUCAGGAGGAACACCGGCGGCGAAGGCGGCCUGCUGGACCGUGACUGACGUUGAGGCUCGAGAGCGUGGGGAGCAAACAGGAUUAGAUACCCGAGUAG
Molecule: ribosomal RNA, 470 nt
Filed under: uncultured bacterium
Lineage: Bacteria
Description: partial 16S ribosomal RNA
Rfam family: Bacterial small subunit ribosomal RNA
Source: RNAcentral